This 497-nucleotide ribosomal RNA is filed under the name uncultured bacterium. RNAcentral's name for it is "partial 16S ribosomal RNA". It matches the Rfam family "Bacterial small subunit ribosomal RNA", at positions 28 to 507 of the family's 1533-position model. The record is from RNAcentral.
GAUGAACGCUGGCGGCGUGCCUAAUACAUGCAAGUCGAGCGAACAGACGAGGAGCUUGCUCCUCUGACGUUAGCGGCGGACGGGUGAGUAACACGUGGAUAACCUACCUAUAAGACUGGGAUAAUUUCGGGAAACCGGAGCUAAUACCGGAUAAUAUAUUGAACCGCAUGGUUCAUUAGUGAAAGACGGUUUUGCUGUCACUUAUAGAUGGAUCCGCGCCGCAUUAGCUAGUUGGUAAGGUAACGGCUUACCAAGGCGACGAUGCGUAGCCGACCUGAGAGGGUGAUCGGCCACACUGGAACUGAGACACGGUCCAGACUCCUACGGGAGGCAGCAGUAGGGAAUCUUCCGCAAUGGGCGAAAGCCUGACGGAGCAACGCCGCGUGAGUGAUGAAGGUCUUCGGAUCGUAAAACUCUGUUAUUGGGGAAGAACAAAUGUGUAAGUAACUAUGCACGUCUUGACGGUACCUAAUCAGAAAGCCACGGCUAACUACGUG